This 174-nucleotide ribosomal RNA is filed under the name uncultured Enterobacteriaceae bacterium. RNAcentral describes it as "partial 16S ribosomal RNA". It matches the Rfam family "Bacterial small subunit ribosomal RNA", at positions 338 to 503 of the family's 1533-position model. The record is from RNAcentral. Lineage: Bacteria; Pseudomonadati; Pseudomonadota; Gammaproteobacteria; Enterobacterales; Enterobacteriaceae.
CCUACGGGAGGCAGCAGUGGGGAAUAUUGCACAAUGGGCGCAAGCCUGAUGCAGCCAUGCCGCGUGGAUGAAGAAGGCCUUCGGGUUGUAAAGUACCUUUCAUUGGAGGAGGAAGGCCAUCAGGUUAAUAACCUCUUCGGAUUGACGUUACCAAAAAGUAAGCACGGCAACCGU